AUUGAACGCUGGCGGCAUGCCUUACACAUGCAAGUCGAACGGCAGCACGGGUGCUUGCACCUGGUGGCGAGUGGCGAACGGGUGAGUAAUACAUCGGAACAUGUCCUGUAGUGGGGGAUAGCCCGGCGAAAGCCGGAUUAAUACCGCAUACGAUCUACGGAUGAAAGCGGGGGCCCUUCGGGCCUCGCGCUAUAGGGUUGGCCGAUGGCUGAUUAGCUAGUUGGUGGGGUAAAGGCCUACCAAGGCGACGAUCAGUAGCUGGUCUGAGAGGACGACCAGCCACACUGGAACUGAGACACGGCCCAGACUCCUACGAGAGGCAGCAGUGGGGAAUUUUGGACAAUGGGCGAAAGCCUGAUCCAGCAAUGCCGCGUGUGUGAAGAAGGCCUUCGGGUUGUAAAGCACUUUUGUCCGGAAAGAAAUCCUUGGCCCUAAUACGGUCGGGGGAUGACGGUACCGGAAGAAUAAGCACCGGCUAACUACGUG
Molecule: ribosomal RNA, 486 nt
Filed under: uncultured bacterium
Lineage: Bacteria
Description: partial 16S ribosomal RNA
Rfam family: Bacterial small subunit ribosomal RNA
Source: RNAcentral